RNAcentral lists this ribosomal RNA (446 nucleotides) under uncultured bacterium. Its description in RNAcentral is "SSU rRNA". It matches the Rfam family "Bacterial small subunit ribosomal RNA", at positions 26 to 518 of the family's 1533-position model. The record is from RNAcentral.
AGAACGAACGCUGGCGGCAUGCCUAACACAUGCAAGUCGAACGAGACCUUCGGGUCUAGUGGCGCACGGGUGCGUAACGCGUGGGAAUCUGCCCUUAGGUACGGAAUAACAGUGAGAAAUUACUGCUAAUACCGUAUGAUGUCUUCGGACCAAAGAUUUAUCGCCUAGGGAUGAGCCCGCGUUGGAUUAGCUAGUUGGUGGGGUAAAGGCCUACCAAGGCGACGAUCCAUAGCUGGUCUGAGAGGAUGAUCAGCCACACUGGGACUGAGACACGGCCCAGACUCCUACGGGAGGCAGCAGUGGGGAAUAUUGGACAAUGGGCGAAAGCCUGAUCCAGCAAUGCCGCGUGAGUGAAGAAGGCCUUCGGGUUGUAAAGCUCUUUUACCCGGGAAGAUAAUGACUGUACCGGGAGAAUAAGCCCCAGCUAACUCCGCGCCAGCAGCCGC